CAUAACAGGCCAGGCUGGUCUCGAACUCCUGAUCUCAUGAUCUGCCCACUUCAGCCUCCCAAAGUGGAGGGAUUACAGGCAUGAGCCACUGCACCUGGCUGGUUUGUUUCUCUUGAUAGCAGGUCUUGUUAAGAAGAACGAAAGAUUCUGGGUAUAUAUCAGAAUGCUUACUUUUAGCAUCCCCUUGUCAGAAGCAGGAAGGUAUUUUUUUCUGAUCUUCACUGUGAGAAACUGGUAGGGCUUCAGACAUAAACACACAAAAGUAGGGGUGGAUACAGGCUAAGACUGAGCCCACCUGGAGUUUCCAACUCUUAAUCUUGUCUACACUGAACCUUCAGUAAUUUGUCAAUUAUGGUUUAUGUUUUCCUACCGUGGUACAAGCUCCAGUGGUGGUUUCUGCUCCUGGGCUCCUGCUCCAGAACUCCAAAUAUCUGGAUGUCAACACCAUCCCACUUCACCACAAGCUUCGGGGACAGGUCCUAGUUAUUCUGAACCUGUCAAUACCUGGAAUUUACCUAAGGGCCAUUACUGGUUGAGGGCGGACAACCCUCUUAAAAUGGCCUGAUCAUAUUGAAGGGAUGGCAUUUUAUUCCAUAGUUAGGAAAGGUUUUCCCCUCUCUCCUGAGAGACAGAAACAAAGAAGAAUGUACACUCUAUCACAAUAAACAGCCAUCUUAUUACAUUAGGGGUAAUUCCAGCCUUAGGAUGAAGCUGACACCAGGCACAGCAGAAGAUGGUCACAGCACUGACCAGAGAUGGAAAGAACCUGGAUCCUUAAUGACUUCAUUUAGUUACUGAAUCAAUGGCCCCUGAUGCCUGUCCUACCUACUGUGCUCUUCCUGCUAUGUGAGAUCACAAACUUCCUUAAUAGUUAAGCUAGUUUAAGGCGAUUAUUUUUUAUAUACAGCUAAAACUCCCUAUGCAAUAUAAUUGAUAUAACAAUAUUGCCUAAACAGUUUUCCAUUUCAUUCUGCUCAGAACUACUCCAUUAUUUAUAAUGGCUGUAUAGUUUUUCUGAGUAUUAUUGCAUCUUAAUGUACUAAUCCUUCCCAUUAUUUCUAAGCAUUAAAGUCUUACUGAGUUUUUUGGUUUUUCAAAAAUGCUAAAAUAAACAUCCUAUUAUUGCAUAUAUUUA
Macaca mulatta (Rhesus monkey) is the source of this 1135-nucleotide non-coding RNA. The record is from RefSeq and is a predicted model, not a curated record. Lineage: Eukaryota; Metazoa; Chordata; Mammalia; Primates; Cercopithecidae.